Long non-coding RNA from Gossypium arboreum, 4402 nucleotides. RefSeq lists it as uncharacterized. The transcript has 3 exons. NCBI's taxonomy places the organism in Eukaryota, Viridiplantae, Streptophyta, Magnoliopsida, Malvales, Malvaceae. The record is from RefSeq and is a predicted model, not a curated record.
AAAUAUGAAGUUUUAUUAAAAGAAAAGGGGUGAAAAGAACAAAGUUUUGUCCAUCUUUGUUCAUCAUAGCUGAAAGUUAGAGAAGAGAAAGGAGAGGAGAAAGCUCUUGAGUAUUCGGUCAUUAGGAGGAGGAAAAUUGAAGGAAAUCCCCAACCAUAGUGGGCUUGGAGCUGUGAGGGAAUUCGGAGUGGCCACCCGUUCUGAAAGUUUGAUUUUCUUCUGGUGAACUGGACAUCCUUUUAAUUACGUUUGAGGUUUUGGGCUUUUAAAUGUAAUAAGGCCGCUUAUUUAUUUUUGAUGGUUUUUAAUAUGUAUUACUAAGAUAGGUAUUACUUAUUUUAACUGUUGAAACUGGAUAGCUUUAGGGCGCGUUUUCAAAAACAACAGUUGAUUUCAAAAUAACACGACAACAAGCAAAGCUUCCGCAAUGAAAGUAUUUUCCAAAAUUAAUCACUUUUCCUAAAAAUGACUUAAUCAAAUCGGUUUCCUAGAAAUAUCCAUGACAUUAAGGUGUGGCAAUGGCGGUAUGCAUGUCUAGGAUUGGACCCGAAGGGAGCUUGGUACUUAAGCAGUCCGAUGGACUCACCACCUCUUUUCCGGUUUCCUACCUGGUGCAUAGCUUCCAUUCACUUUAAUCCUUAAUGAAUUAAUCUUUUGAACAUCAAGUACGAUUUUCUGGACUUAGAAUGGAAAAAAAAAUUUUAACGUUUUUGAUGUGGCAUGCCGGAUCCGGCCAUAACUUCUGGGCCGGGUUUGGGGUGCUACAUUUAGUGGUAUCAGAGCCUAGGUUACAACAACUCGGCUGUGGAAUGUGUUUACAAAAAUAAAUAUUUUUGAAAGCGAAAAUUUUAUAAAGAAUGCGAAAAAGUUGAUUUUCAAAAUUUAGAUCUCUAGAAGGUGGCAUUCCGAAUCUCCGGCUCAAGCCUGUAAGUAUUACUCUGAACUCUUCUGAAUAUUUUUCUGUCUUAUCUGUCUGUACUGAAACCCUAUUAUGAUACUCUAGAUAGGAUGAUACUGAAACCAUAAGAAAAUUUGAUAAGAGACUGAAACUGUAGCUAGACUUCGAUUCUGCGAAAACAAACUCUGAACUACUGUCUGAUUCAUAAAACAUCUGUAAUAAACACUGGAAUAUUAAUUGAUGCAUAAAAAUUCAUAAUCAAGAUAAUACGAUAUGAGUACAAGAGGCCGUGGACGGAGCCGAGGAAGUGCUCGAGCGAGAUCUUCGUCUUCGAGACAUAUGCCGGCGGUGGAUGCACCGGUACCACCGCAGAGGUAGAGUCUCAUGACCAUGCAGUACGAGGAUGAUUCCCGUCACGAGCAAUGCUUCGUGUUGGAAAGGGUUGCGAGCAAGUUCGGGCAACAAAAUUCGUGGAUCUAUUUCGAAUGACUUGGGACUAACGGACGGAGAUCUUUAAGGGCGCGUCUGGUAUAGCCCCGAAUGUGGCAGAAUAUUGGUUGGAGGCCACAGAACGGAUUAUGGACAACUUGGACUGCUCUGAGGAGAUUGUGAGUGGGGUAUCUGUACUAAGUCAUUUGAGUCACUCGAUUAGGGUAGACAAACUGUAUAGGAAUGUACCCUUAGAAACUCAAGGCAAGGUUUUUCUGGAGAUCGAUGGAGUUCUUGUUGGAGAGUUUGACCUCAUUCAGGAAUGGAUUGGCUUGUUAAGCAUAAGGCAACUCUGGAUUGUGCUUCUAAACGAAUGGUGUUAAGAACUACAAAGCAUGAGGAGGUUAUGGUGAUAGGUGAGAGAAGGGAUUAUUUGUCCAAUAUGGUGUCGGCAUUAAGAGCCGAAAAAUGGAUUCGGAAAGGUUGUGAGGCCUAAUUGGUAUUUGUAAGUCAGUCGGAAGAGGAAGGACUGACAGUGGAUAAGGUUAGGACCGUAAAGGAGUUCCAAGAUGUUUUUUCGGAUGAGUUUCCAAGAUUGCCUCCGAAUCGAGAAGUUGAGUUUGGAAUAGACUUGUUGCCUGGAAUGGCGCCUGUGUCCAUCGCACCGUAUAGGAUAGCACCGAAGGAGUUAGUGGAGUUAAAGGCUCAAAUCCAAAAGUUGUUGGAUAGGGGCUUUAUUAGGCCAAGCGUGUCUUCAUGGGGAGCACCGGUGCUAUUCGUGAAGAAGAAGGAUGGUACAAUGCGGAUGUGCAUUGAUUAUCGCCAGUUGAACAAACUGACAAUUAAGAAUAAGUAUCCACUACCAAGGAUUGACGAUCUGUUUGACCAGCUUAGAGGGGCUUUUGUAUUUUCCAAGAUCGACCUUUGAUCUGGAUAUCAUUAGUUAAGGGUCAAGGAGGUAGAUAUCCAUAAGACAACAUUCAGGACUCGGUAUGGUCAUUACGAGUUUUUGGUUUUGCCAUUUAGACUAACGAACACUCCUGCAGCGUUUAUAGAUCUGAUGAAUCAUGUGUUCCAACCACCUCAAAAGCGCUAUGACCAUAUUCGAACAUGUACAAUGCAGGGUGGAGGGGCCACCCAAAUCUAAGUUAUGGAUCGAACCCUCGACACAAUCAACCAUAUCAACCAAGGCCACCUCCGCUUCAACAGUAUCAACCUUCAAAGUCAUCUCUUGAAGCCAUAAUAGAGAGGUUAGCCGUUAGCACCAAAAAGUUCCAACAAAAUACUGAAACACUUCCAAGAACUAGAUCAGUAAAUAAGUAAGCUAGCACUUACAGUUAGUAGUUUGGAGAACCAAGGAAAAUUUUCAUCUCAUGCAGAGCCAAAUCCACGUUAAAAUGCAAGUGCUGUGACCGUAAAAAAUGGAACAGAGUCAAAACUAGUGCUUGGCACUAGUCGUGACCACAACGUUGAACAGGAAGUCGAACCAACAGCUCCCACUGAGCCGGAACCUCAUAAACCAUUUGUUGUUCCUCCCCCAUACCUUGGAAGGCUCACCCAAGUUAAAAAGGAAUGAGAGGAAAAAGAAAUCCUUGAGACAUUCUGAAAGGUAGAAACUAAAAUUGCUUUACUUGAUACAAUUAAACAGGUUCCACGCUGUGCAAAAUUUUGAAAGAACUGUGUACUAACAAAAAGAAGCUCUAAAAAAACGAAUAGGUGAAUGUAGGAGAAAAUGUUUCUACAGUGCUACAAAGGAAAAUCCCGCCUAAGUGUAAGAACCAAGGUAUGUUUUCUAUAUCCUAGAAAAUAAGUAAUAUUAGCAUAAAGAAAGCUAUGUGUAAUUUGAGAGCAUCUAUUUAUGUAAUGCCUUUAACUAUUCUUAAAUUGCUAAACACGGGUCUUUUGAAAGAAACAUGGGUGAUUAUUCAAUUGGUAGAUAGGUCAUGCGUAUAUCCAGAAGGGGUGCUGGAAGAUGUCCUUGUAAAGGUAAAUAAACUAAUUUUUCCUGUAAACUUUUACAUCAUCAAUAUGGAAGACAACUACUCAAAAAAUGCUUCUAAUAUUUUACUCAGAAGACCAUUCCUAAGUAUGACACGUACAAAGAUUGAUGUUCAAAGUGGAACCCUCACUAUGGAAUUCGACGGUGAGGUGAUAAAAUUUAAUGUUUAUGAGACGAUGGGCCAACCUAGUACAAUGUUGAAUAUUUUUAGUGUUGAUAUUAUUGAACCACUAAUGAAAUUUCAUUUUAAGUAUGAUGAAGAGGAUGAGUUACAAACUGUGCUUUGUAAGAAUUUAGACCUCAAUACAAUAGAUAAACUAGAGGAAUUAAUGACAUUUAAAGAGCCAAUUUGUAAAACUUUCAUUUUCACGGAGGCACCACAGUUUCCCAAAAGUCAAGGUAAAGAAUUUGAAUUGUCUCCUUUUCAAACUAAACUUUUGCCUUCCAUUUCACAGGCCCUUGGAAUUGGAACUCGAACUGUUAUCGGAACAUUUAAAUAUUCAGAUAGAGGAAAAGGAAAACCUAAGCAGAGAAGCUCGAAUACGUUUCAAUUCACCAAUGAUGAAGGAAUCAGGAAAAUGCUUCAAGGUCAAAGAGAAAAGGUUGAAAUCUUUCAAUGAGAACUUUCAAGUGCGCGCAAUGGAAGAAUUAAUUCUCAAGGAACUAAACAAAUAAUACUCAGGUACACGAAUCGCUUGAAGCAAUAAAGUCUUUCGAUGAAGACACGAUCUGGCUACAAAAGAACAAGAGGAGCAACCACCUUCUACUUUAGAUGAACAACUUCAUCGCAUUAAAGCUCACCUCGAAACAAUGGAAGCCAACAUCUCAAGCAUCCUCAACAUGCUACAAAGUGAUCCCUCCCACCGUCCUCCGACCCGUUGAAUAUACACGGGGAGAACACUUGACCCUUCUAUUCAUUAUUGCUUUAAACUUACAUAUUGAGGGCAAUGUGGGCUUAGUAGGGGGAAUUUUGGAUCAUGCCAUACUUUCUUUUUGCAUGUGUUUUGCUAAGAAUAAUUUUUUUAAUUCAUUCCAGAAAUAAACCUCUAAUUCUUAUGUUUAGUUUACUUAAAUAA